AUAUUAAAUGGCAGGGAAGAUACCAUGAACAAGAAGAUGGUUUCCCAGGGCAAAGCCCCCCAUUGCACUGUGGGUGUGCCGAUUGCUGUGAAUUUUUUUGAAUAUGGAAAACUUGACUAAAUCAUUUAUGAUAGUGGGAGACUGUGUCCAUACUCUCCCC
Non-coding RNA from Myodes glareolus (Bank vole), 160 nucleotides. NCBI's taxonomy places the organism in Eukaryota, Metazoa, Chordata, Mammalia, Rodentia, Cricetidae. The record is from RefSeq and is a predicted model, not a curated record.